This 1272-nucleotide ribosomal RNA is filed under the name metagenome. RNAcentral's name for it is "bacterial LSU rRNA". It matches the Rfam family "Bacterial large subunit ribosomal RNA", at positions 1649 to 2925 of the family's 2925-position model. The record is from RNAcentral.
CCUACAGGUAGGCGGGUAGAGGAUACCCAGGCGCGCGAGAGAACUCCCGUUAAGGAACUAGGCAAGCUGACCCCGUAACUUCGGGAGAAGGGGUGCCCCUGCGGGUGAAGGCUGUAACGCCGGAGCCGGCGGGGGUCGCAGUGACAGGGUCCGAUCGACUGUUUAACAAAAACACAGGUCUCUGCGAAGUCGCAAGACGACGUAUAGGGGCUGACGCCUGCCCAACGCCAGAAGGUUAAUGGGAGGGGUGAACCCGCGAGGGGGCAGCUCCGAACUGAAGCCCUGGUGAGUGGCGGCCGUAACUAUAACGGUCCUAAGGUAGCGAAAUUCCUUGUCGGGUAAGUACCGACCUGCACGAAUGGCGUAACGAAUUGGGCGCUGUCUCAACGGGAGACUCGGUGAAAUUGUAGCACCUGUGAAGAUGCAGGUUACCCACGAUUGGACGGAAAGACCCCGUGGAGCUUUACUACACCCUGCCAUUGCACCUUCUGCGGAGCUGUAGAGCGUAGGUGGGAGUCCUUCGGGACGCCAAUGGAACACCACCCUGCUCCGUGGGGGGUGCUAACCCCCGCCGGUGAAGAGCCGGAGGGGAGACCGUGGCAGGCGGGUAGUUUGACUGGGGCGGUCGCCUCCCAAAAGGUAACGGAGGCGCCCAAUGGUUCCCUCGGCCCGGUUGGAAACCGGGCGUAAAGAGCGCAAGGGCAUAAGGGAGCUUGACGGCGAGACCUACAGGUCGAGCCGGGACGAAAGUCGGGCCUAGUGACCCUCUGGUGGUUUGUGGAAACGCCAGGGCUUAACGGAUAAAAGUUACCCCGCGGAUAACAGGCUUAUCUUGCCCAAGCGCCCACAGCGACGGCAAGGUUUGGCACCUCGAUGUCGGCUCGUCGCAUCCUGGGGCUGGAUUAGGUCCCAAGGGUUAGGCUGUUCGCCUAUUAAAGCGGUACGCGAGCUGGGUUCAGAACGUCGCGAGACAGUUCGGUCCCUAUCCAUCGUGGGCGGAAGAGCAUUGAGGGGAGCUGCUCCUAGUACGAGAGGACCGGAGUGGACCGACCGCUGGUGUACCGGUUGUCGCGCCCGCGGCAGAAGCCGGGUAGCUAUGUCGGGAAGGGAUAAGCGCUGAAGGCAUCUAAGCGCGAAGCUCGCCCCAAUAUGAGUGCUCUCGCCCGGUCAGCGGGGUAAGGCCCGUGGAAGAGAACCACGUCGAUAGGCGGUCCCUGGAAGCGCGGCGACGCGUGGAGGGCAGCCGUACUAAUCGGCCGAGGGCUUGAUCGU